AGAGUACGUGAAACCGCUUAGGGGUUAAGCCCGAUGAACCCGAAUAUCCGAAGUAGGAAAUUCAGUACUGUUUGCGAACGAUUACGUCGUUCGCCGGUAUGCACUUUUCCUACGGUAGGACAUUGCGAUCCAUUGGUGUGUCUUAUUGCUAAGACGGCUUGCCAAACGGCCCGUGCGAUUUAGUUUGUCCUAUCGGUAACGGCUUGUUCCGUUGCACGGACAAUAUCGUUUGCGGUGUCCUGGCAAGCGGCCGAUGGAGCUUAACGAUCGUGCCGUCCAGACGUUCGCGUCUGUGCCGCGGCUGAAUGUUCGCGCAUUCGGUGCAGCGGUCGCACGUGUUCGAUCAGCAAUGCGACAGAUUUGGGAUACCCUCGGGACCCGUCUUGAAACACGGACCAAGAAGUCUAACAUGUGUGCGAGUCAUUGGGUACACAAAAACCUAACGGCGCAAUUAAAAUAACCAAUAUAUGGGAUUACAGGCGACUGUUUCAAUGGUCGUCUCUCCAUCCCGGGGCGUUCUAUACCGAACAUGGCCGCAGCAAUGCGGUCCGCUGUUCGAGAGCGUACCUUGAGCAUACAUGCUGUGACCGA
RNAcentral lists this ribosomal RNA (591 nucleotides) under Phthinia sp. DK-2013. RNAcentral describes it as "eukaryotic LSU rRNA". It matches the Rfam family "Eukaryotic large subunit ribosomal RNA", at positions 392 to 819 of the family's 3401-position model. The record is from RNAcentral. Lineage: Eukaryota; Metazoa; Arthropoda; Insecta; Diptera; Mycetophilidae.